This 253-nucleotide ribosomal RNA is filed under the name uncultured bacterium. RNAcentral describes it as "partial 16S ribosomal RNA". It matches the Rfam family "Bacterial small subunit ribosomal RNA", at positions 524 to 776 of the family's 1533-position model. The record is from RNAcentral.
UACGUAGGGGGCGAGCGUUGUCCGGAUUUAUUGGGCGUAAAGAGCGUGUAGGCGGUUCGGUAAGUCUGUUGUGAAAUCCUGAGGCUCAACCUUGGACGUGCGAUGGAUACUGCCGGGCUAGAGGAUGGUAGAGGCGAGUGGAAUUCCCGGUGUAGCGGUGAAAUGCGCAGAUAUCGGGAGGAACACCAGUAGCGAAGGCGGCUCGCUGGGCCAUUCCUGACGCUAAGACGCGAAAGCUAGGGGAGCGAACAGG